UAAAUAUUGUUCUUCAGUUCAGACAGGAUUGAAGCCAACGCUGUCACUCAUCUCCCUCUUUCUGACACUCAGUGGGCGGAACCACGGUGACUUCAGCUAGCGGUGACAUCACGUGCAUACCCUCUAAAAUACCAACAAAACCACAUUUUUUGGAAUUUGAGUGGUAAGCUCAGAACUUGUUAGCCAUUCCAUGAUAAUGCCCAAAGGGGUUCUUUAAAUCCAGUACCAAACUACCACCAACUUAUAUAAAGAGUCUGGUCGUGCCUGUACUUACGUUAUAGAGCUGGAUGUGAUUAGUGCUCGGUCCACACUAACACAGAUAGUUUUCUAAAUGUAGAUUUUCUUCCUUCUGUUUUAUAAAAAAACUUCUGUCUACACAACCUUUUUACAAAAUGCUUUUGUCCACAGAACAACAUAAAAACAGCUCCAAGCUGGUGCAGACACUCACACAAACCAUCAUUUCUGGCAAACUUAAAACUAUGGACACUGCAGUUUAAGGUUGUUGAAAUGUAGUCUGUACAUUACGUGGAGUUGCCCAUAACACCGGUCCGCCUCCCAAAGGUAUCCAUGCUGACUGGGAUCUACUACAGGUCAUACACAGAUUUUUCCCAUUUUCCCAUUGGAAAGCAUUUUUAAAUAUCAGAAUUUUUAAACUCUGUAUUUAAAAAUGAGAAAACCAGAAGAAGAGAAAAAAAUAUUCAUUUUGCAAAAUAUCCUGUUUAGUGUGGACAGAGAACAGAUGAUCUUAGCAUGAAGACUUCAAACCAGUGGAAGCAGCUCAUCAGUCAGGGUCAAAGUGGAUGUGCUCAAGUGGUCCAAGUUGGAGUACUUACAGUUUUGGACAGAGCUGGGUUCUGACCCCUGUGUGUGUUUUUAUGCUGAACUACACCAGUAUCCCCAUUUGAAUACUUGUGUUUGUGCACUUCUGGCCCAUGUGACUACAUGAUGCACUCAGUGUACAUGUGUAGUACAGACCUGUGCAUCCAGGUAGACGACUGUCACCUGCUGGAAUAUCUGCCGGCUAAAGCUGACAGAGCCACAGAUAGUCAUUCUUCCUUCUCUACUGUUUUCCCAGACUGAGUGGACCUUCCCUGUCUUCUGUAGCAUUACAGCCCACUUGUCCUUACAGUAUUUUAUAAAAUUCUGAACUCAUGUCAAAGUGUAAAAAGACUAAUAUUACCACUGUUACACUUACCAUUACCACUAACAUUAGUAGAAUUGUUUUAUUUAGUCUAAUGCAUUACACAUAUUUAGCCACUUGUUAAAUAGAUGCUAAUAGAAUAUUGUGCUAUAGAAAAUUAGCAUGAACUAAUUGCUGAUAGAGACAGUACUUCUAAAUAUCUAAAAUUAUUGUUUAAAUUGUCUGCAAAUCCUAAAGAAUGCAUGACAUGAACUUUUUACAGUUUCACAACUUGUAACCAUGACAUAUGGUCCAACCAAAGUACGGCACAUGUAUUGACAAUGACAGGGGGUUUUGGAGGCUGUCCGAUGAAAUGACUGACAGUCUAACUAGCAUCAGCACCAUCAGCUGUGUGAUUCACAUCAUUGCUUUAGUUACCACAGUGAUUAUUGGCAUGGUGACUGUCAUAAUGACUGGCACCCUGUAGUUUUAUGAAGUUGUCCUCAUGAUUAUGAAUCAGUACACACAAUAGCACAAGCACAAACAUAUGUAAUCUGUGAUCAGUGGUGAUCACGUCAGACACAGGGUUUUAUUUAUCAUUACUUGUUUCAGUGUUUGUCACAGAUAUUGCUUGGAAAGUGCAAAACAUCAGCAAAGGUGUGAAGGAAGUUGCUGCAGCUCUAGUUUUAUUACUUGGCUUUAUAAACUUGAACAGUGCAUACCAAGGCAGACUUCCAAAAGUGGACGAAGGAAAGUCAGCUCUUAAUCUAUAGCAAUAUGUAAUAUCAACAGAAUAAAACUUCCCUAAAGCUGUGAAGCUGCUUUUAAACUGUGCUGAUUUCCACCAUGGUUCCAGUCGUGGUUUGGUUGGUAUAUACAAAUCUAUAUUUCAGUCGAAUUGGACAGUGUGUUAUUAUUGUAUUCUCUCUUGCCUAUAAUUAUCAGUAAGAUGAUUAGGACAUAAUGUAGUUUAGGGGGGCUGUACAUAUAUGUUUGACCUGAAAAAAAAAAAAAAAGAUUAACCUUAAGGAAGCUUUCAAUG
This is a long non-coding RNA of Sphaeramia orbicularis (orbiculate cardinalfish), 2162 nucleotides long. RefSeq lists it as uncharacterized. The record is from RefSeq and is a predicted model, not a curated record. The transcript is spliced from 2 exons. NCBI's taxonomy places the organism in Eukaryota, Metazoa, Chordata, Actinopteri, Kurtiformes, Apogonidae.